Molecule: long non-coding RNA, 429 nt
Organism: Coffea eugenioides
Lineage: Eukaryota; Viridiplantae; Streptophyta; Magnoliopsida; Gentianales; Rubiaceae
Exons: 4
Source: RefSeq, a predicted model, not a curated record
AAAUAAUUAUUCUGCUGACAAAAAUGAAAUAAAAUGCAUUGAAUCAUGAGGAUUAUGAUGUUUACUUUUAUUUCUUCUUUCUGCCUUGUAUUUAUCUCUUGGAUGCAUUUUUUGUGUUGUACGUGUUUUUGCUUGGAGCAUUCUUAGAUAUGGUCUGCCACCAUCUUUUUUGUCUGCUGUAUUAUCACCACCCGUGAAAAGUGAAAAGGAAGUGCCUUCCGUCUUGGCAUCUAGGAAGGUUUGUGUGACAGUUCAACCAGCACCCACUGGAAAACUGAAGAUGAAGGACCAGUUGUGGUUUUGGGGCUGAUGCUGGUGCACAUCCUUAUGUUACCUUCACCGUCAAUCUGAUUUAAAUCAAGUCACUUUUCAUGGCAGUCAACGUCGAAUACCUUGUUUUAUUUCUUCGGCUUUCAAGAAUUAGGACUG